CAGAAGGUAGUUUAAUUGAGAACGGCGGCUUUGGAAGUUGCGGGUGGAAGUGAGUAGUGCUUUCUUUUCUGA
This 72-nucleotide transfer RNA is filed under the name Echinaster brasiliensis. RNAcentral's name for it is "tRNA-Pro". The record is from RNAcentral. Lineage: Eukaryota; Metazoa; Echinodermata; Asteroidea; Spinulosida; Echinasteridae.